Long non-coding RNA from Tympanuchus pallidicinctus (lesser prairie-chicken), 1028 nucleotides. RefSeq lists it as uncharacterized. The transcript has 3 exons. The record is from RefSeq and is a predicted model, not a curated record. Lineage: Eukaryota; Metazoa; Chordata; Aves; Galliformes; Phasianidae.
GCCUCAGUCAGCACAGAAGCUCUUUAAUUCCAGUGCAGGGGCUCAGCACCAGCAGAACCAGCAGCACCUGGGCCAACGAGGCUCUCAGCCAUCCAUCCCCACUUGUGCUCCCCUCCCAGAUGGGGUCAAUUUGGCACUGAUGGCUGGGAGCGCACAGCAUCCAGCCUGCUGGGCAGGCACUGCAGCUUGGUUGGUUUGGAGAUGAUUUAAGCGCAUGGGAAGAACCAGGGCUGCCUGUUGGUGCCUCCUGGAGCUGCUCAUCCUCUCCAAGCACUGAUGUUAGGGCUCUGCCUCGCUGUACUUAAAGCUUAUGGCUCACUACGCUUAGGAUUUGUUUCUCCAGCACUGGUUGCUCGGAAAUUUUCUUCCUGUGGGCCACAGAUGUUAAUUCCAGCUGUAUCCAAUCUAAGAGUGCGAGUUGCUGAUUUACGGAUGGGAAAAGGUGUUUCAGCUGGAAGCAGGAAAUUGGACAUUGAUUGGAGGACAGAAGUUCGGAGCAAGAGUUAAAGCAAAGUGACAUUUCCAUACAUUAGGGAAGCGGGUGAAGUCGGCCCAACGCAGUGUGUAAAUCUCCGAGCUCUGGUUGCAGGGCUUUUGCCAAGAGCCUCCUCCCAGCCCCAGCUCAGGGCAUUGUGCUGCCUGGGGCUCCUACCAACUGGCAGCACAGGAACGACUCGUCCUGGUGCAGGAGCAUUGCCCAGGGCCAUAGGAUGCCUGCUGCAGGAGGUGACUUUACAGGAGCAAUGAGGUGUAAGCAGCUGGCAGGACUCAGCAGGGUGAUCUCUGCUGGGAGGCACUGGCCGUGCAUUGCUACGCUGCCAGCAGGAGGGGAACAGCCUGGGGAAGAAGAAGCCAACGGUGCUGAGAGCUUCCCAGCACGGCACUGCUGCCAGCAUUGCUCCCAGCACAGACUGCUCCCAUGCCCCGGGCACAGCCAGCUCUGCAGGUCGCAGUGAGGAUCAGUGAUUGAGUGCCUUGGUGAAACCCGGGCUGUGGAAGUUAUGGGUGAGAUGCUGCAAUCGUUAUCA